This 465-nucleotide ribosomal RNA is filed under the name uncultured bacterium. RNAcentral's name for it is "partial 16S ribosomal RNA". It matches the Rfam family "Bacterial small subunit ribosomal RNA", at positions 339 to 795 of the family's 1533-position model. The record is from RNAcentral.
CUACGGGGUGCUGCAGUGGGGAAUAUUGCGCAAUGGGGGAAACCCUGACGCAGCGACGCCUCGUGAGUGAUGAAGGCUCUCGGGUUGUAAAGCUCUGUCAGUUGGGACGAAAAAGUAUAUGGCUAAUAUCCAUAUGCCUUGACGGUACCAGCAAAGGAAGCACCGGCUAACUACGUGCCAGCAGCCGCGGUAAUACGUAGGGUGCUAGCGUUGUUCGGAAUCACUGGGCGUAAAGUGUGAGCAGGUGGUGAACUAAGUCUGAUGUGAAAUCCUCUGGCUUAACCAGAGAACUGCAUUGGAUACUGGAUCACUAGAGUUCGGUAGAGGGAAGUGGAAUUCCUGGUGUAGAGGUGAAAUUCGUAGAUAUCAGGAGGAAUACCAGUUGCGAAGGCGACUUCCUGGGCCGACACUGACACUCAGACACGAAAGCGUGGGGAGCAAACAGGAUUAGAUACCCCAGUAGUC